GAUGAACGCUGGCGGCGUGCUUAAUACAUGCAAGUCGAGCGAACGGACGAGAAGCUUGCUUCUCUGAUGUUGGCGGCGGACGGGUGAGUAACACGUGGAUAACCUACCUAUAAGACUGGGAUAACUUCGGGAAACCGGAGCUAAUACCGGAUAAUAUUUUGAACCGCAUGGUUCAAAAGUGAAAGACGGUCUUGCUGUCACUUAUAGAUGGAUCCGCGCUGCAUUAGCUAGUUGGUAAGGUAACGGCUUACCAAGGCAACGAUGCAUAGCCGACCUGAGAGGGUGAUCGGCCACACUGGAACUGAGACACGGUCCAGACUCCUACGGGAGGCAGCAGUAGGGAAUCUUCCGCAAUGGGCGAAAGCCUGACGGAGCAACGCCGCGUGAGUGAUGAAGGUCUUCGGAUCGUAAAACUCUGUUAUUAGGGAAGAACAUAUGUGUAAGUAACUGUGCACAUCUUGACGGUACCUAAUCAGAAAGCCACGGCUAACUACGUG
Molecule: ribosomal RNA, 497 nt
Filed under: uncultured bacterium
Lineage: Bacteria
Description: partial 16S ribosomal RNA
Rfam family: Bacterial small subunit ribosomal RNA
Source: RNAcentral